GCAAGUCGUACGUGUGUAGCAAUACACAAGUGGCGAACGGGUGAGUAACACGUAGGUAACCUGCCUUGUAGACUGGGAUACCCAAGGGAAACUUUGGACAAUACCGGAUAAAGUUUGUAAGGGCAUCCUUACAAAAGAAAAGGAGCAGCAAUGCUUCACUACGAGAUGGACCUGCGGCGCAUUAGCUAGUUGGUGAGGUAACGGCUCACCAAGGCUUCGAUGCGUAGCCGACCUGAGAGGGUGAUC
This 246-nucleotide ribosomal RNA is filed under the name uncultured bacterium. RNAcentral's name for it is "partial 16S ribosomal RNA". It matches the Rfam family "Bacterial small subunit ribosomal RNA", at positions 57 to 305 of the family's 1533-position model. The record is from RNAcentral.